CUCACUUUUCACUUUCAUGCAUUGGAGAAGGAAAUGGCAACCCACUCCAGUGUUCUUGCCUGGAGAAUCCCAGGGACGGGGGAGCCUGGUGGGCUGCCGUCUAUGGGGUUGCACAGGGUCGGACACGACUGAAGCGACUUAGCAGCAGCAGCAUAGUGUCCUCCACAUAAAAAACAAAAACAAAAAACCAAAAAGCUUCUUAUCCUAGAAAUUUUAAGCUUCGCAACAUGAAGAAAUACAGGGCUUCUUUCCUUGACACGCUGUCUUACAGUCAAAGCGCUGUCUACAGUUCCUUUCAAGACUUCAGAAACUCGAGAACUACUCGGAAUGUGAGCGGACGGGGCAGGAGUGAAGUGAAGGAGAGUAAAAUGGUGGGGAUGAUGCCAGCACUGAAUUCUCGAGUCACGUUACUGAACAUAGUGGAUCAACACAAAGAUAAAGAGGCUGGCUUUGUGGGCAUGCAAUCUAUGCAGUCACCGAGUCUGAGUCCCCGCGCCCAGAAAAGCUUCUUGAUUUGUUUAAUGGUUUUUGGUCCCCUUAAAAUUUUUAAUAUUUGUUGUAAAUUAUUUAAUUGGUUCUGAGGCAAAUUAGAGGUAAUGCUUAUUUUGAUGAUGAACUGUGAAUAAUAACAGAAGUACCAGACUGGAAGAUCUCACCUAGGAUGCAUCACUAAUUAAUAGUCUGAGCACUGGAAGUUAACCAUUUAAUCUAUCUGGUGAACUUGGUGAGUGAGUUAAACUGGAGCAGUAGUUUAAAGCAGAUGAUACAUUCCUUAUGAUUUUUGAUUUUUGCUGCAGCGGGGAAGAGCUUCCCUGGUGGCUCAGAUGGCAAAGAAUCUGCCUGUAAUACAGGAGACCUGGGUUUGAUCCCUGGGUCAGGAAGAUCCCGUGGAGAGGGGAAUGGCAACCCAUUCCAGUGUUCUUGCCUGGAGAAUUCCAUGGACAGAGGAGACUGGUGGGCUUUAUAGUCCAUGGAGUUGCAAAGAGUCAGACAUGACUGAGCAGCUAACACUGCUACUACUGAUGGAGGGGAACGAGGGGACCAGCCUCUGGGUCCCUGUUCCUGCUUCAGUGUGAAGAGUGGGUCUUUUGUCUCUUGCAUGUUCCAAAGGUCUCUUCAGGGUCAACUACACUAUUCUAGGAAUAGUAUUCUUGGAGGUCAGAACUUAUGACUGGGGAUGAGGUAAAAACAGAGAGGCAUAGAGUGCAGUGAUUUUCCAGGAUGAAAGGAGUUUAUGUAAAGAUUUGGACUGGGAAGGGCCAGAUGCCAAGAAAAUUAUGAUGGCAAAUUAAACUCCUCACUUGCCAGCUGAAAUACUGUCUGCAAUGAAUUCUUCCUUGAUUCACCUCAUUUCUUCUGACAUUUCUUUCAUCUGAACUCCCAUUGGCCUUAAGAUCUUAUCACUCAUUUGACACAAACAUGCUGCUUUAAAUAACAUUUUGAUAAAAAUGCUAAUAUUAGCAUUGCAGUACUGUAUUUUUUGUUUCUG
RNAcentral lists this long non-coding RNA (1489 nucleotides) under Bos indicus x Bos taurus (hybrid cattle). Its description in RNAcentral is "lncRNA (ENSBIXG00005028354.1)". Lineage: Eukaryota; Metazoa; Chordata; Mammalia; Artiodactyla; Bovidae. The record is from RNAcentral.